RNAcentral lists this unclassified non-coding RNA (843 nucleotides) under Hevea brasiliensis (rubber tree). Lineage: Eukaryota; Viridiplantae; Streptophyta; Magnoliopsida; Malpighiales; Euphorbiaceae. The record is from RNAcentral.
AACACUUUCAAAAAAAGCACUUCUUUUCUUUCUUCUCUCUCUCCACAUAGUUUUCUUUGGAGGUCCCCCUUUCUCUUUAUCUCUGUCAACAGUAGUGCUGCUAAUCCCCCAUUGCUAAAGCAGAGAGAGACCCUAAAAAGUUUUGAUCUUUGUGACACUUCAGGGUGUACAUGAAGUGAACUUGGACGCUGUGUUAUGGGCUUGGUUGACCAGACUGCAUUGAGGAUUCGUUGUUCAAUUUAAUGGCGUCAACACCUUCUGUCAAGAGUUCACUGGAAAAGCUGAAUAAGUCAGCUGGAAUUCAAGCAGUAGAACGCAAUCCUCGGAGAUCAGCACCUUCCCAAGUUUCAAAAAGUAUCAAUUCUGGGAGCACGACUUCGAAGGAGCUACAACACAAUGAUCGAGAAGUUGCAUCUAAGCAACUUAUGGCAGAAGCAACAACCAAAAAGAAGUCAAAUAGCUAUCAGCAAGUAGGAUCUGCCGACUUAUUGGUUGAUAAGUUUGAUUCGAGCUUAUAUUUAGGAAAUCUGAAGCAUGCUCCAAGCGGUGCAGCUUCCGCACUCUGUGAAGCAAAGGGCUCGCAGUGCGCUGUUGAUCAGGAAAAGAAGGCAUCAGGAAAUGGAGACAUCAAGGAUAACUCAGCCCCAGCCAAAGUCAGUGAUGGGGCCGGUAGCCUUGCAAAAACAAGUGGAAGUGCCAAAGUUAGCGAUCGAGCUGAUUUUGUUGAGAGUGGAAAGAGCAGCAUCUGUAGGGGAAGCACAAGCACCGAUGUAAGUGAUGAAAGUACUUGCAGCAGCUUUAGCACCACUAUUAAUAAACCCCACAAAGCUAAUGACUCAAGAU